Molecule: long non-coding RNA, 281 nt
Organism: Asterias rubens (European starfish)
Lineage: Eukaryota; Metazoa; Echinodermata; Asteroidea; Forcipulatida; Asteriidae
Exons: 3
Source: RefSeq, a predicted model, not a curated record
GACACGUCCAAAAAGAAGGAAAGGACACCUCGCCAAUCAGGGUACUAUGUGAGCAGAUGCCAGGACUUGGCGUAAACAUCUUGGAGACCUCGUCAAACCCGGCACCUCCAAGUCCACAUCAUCCACCUCCGCAAAGCUCUUGCCAAGCUGGUGGGUUUGUACCAACUGUAGGGAGAUGCCAACACAACAGGACAGGUCAUGCUGCAAACAAAGGCCGGAUGAAUGCUUCUCAAACUUGGCAAUCUUGAGGCACCUUGUUCUGGACCACCAUUAGAGUUGGC